This 1221-nucleotide long non-coding RNA is filed under the name Phasianus colchicus (ring-necked pheasant). Its description in RNAcentral is "lncRNA (ENSPCLG00000014956.1)". The record is from RNAcentral. Lineage: Eukaryota; Metazoa; Chordata; Aves; Galliformes; Phasianidae.
GGUCCCAUAGGGGGGUCCCAUAGGGGACAUUCCUGGAGUUCCUAUAGGGGGCUCCAUGGGGUGUUGGACGGGGUCACAUAGGGGUUCCAUUGGGGGGGUCCCAUUGGGGAUCCCAUAGGGGGGGUCCCACAGAAGACACUCCUGGUGUUCCUAUAAGGGGUUCCAUGGGGUACUGGGGGGUCCCAUUGGGGGUCCCAUGGGGGGUCCCAUAGGGGACAUUCCUGGUNNNNNNNNNNNNNNNNNNNNNNNNNGGGGACCAAUAGAGAACACCUGUGGUCUUCCUAUAGGGGGCUCUAUGGGGUGCUGGGGGUCACAUGUGGGGUUCCAUGGGGGGGUCCCAUUGGGGGUCCCACAGGGGGGGUCUCAUAGAGGACACUCCUUGUGUUCCUAUAGGGGCUCCAUGGGUUGUUGAGGGUUCCAUAGGGGGAGUCCCAUUGGAGGGGGUCCCACAGAACUGGGGCUCUUUUGGGGGGUGGGUUUUGGGCCCCCACCUCACGCAGCACCCUCUGCCCUCGGUGGGUGCAUAGGGGGUCCCAUAAGGGGUCCCAUAGGGGGUCCCUUGGGGGGAAUCCCAUUGGGGGGUCCCAUAGGGGGGUCUCAUAGAGGACACUCAUACAGCACCCUCCUCAGUGGGUGCAUAGGGGGUCCCUUAAGGGGCCCCAUAAGGGGUCGCUUGGGGGGAGUCCCAUUGGGGGUCCCAUAGAGAACACUCCUGGUGUUCCUAUAGGGGCUCCAUGGGGUGCUGGGGGUCCCAUGGGGGGGGUCCCAUUGAGGGUCCCAUAGGAGGGUCCCAUAGAGGACGCUCCUUGUGUUCCUAUAGGGGCUCCAUGGGGUGCUGGGGGGUCCAUUGGGGGGUCCCACAGAACUGGAGCUGUUUUGGGGGGUGGGUUUCGAGUCCCCACCUCACGCAGCACCCUCCGGAUGCCCUCGGUGGGUGCACAGGGCUCCCAUAAGGGGUCCCAUAGGGGGUCCUUUGGGGGGAGUCCCAUUGGGGGUCCCAUAGGAGGAUCUCAUAGAUGACACUCCUGGUGUUUCUAUAGGGGCUCCAUGGGGUGAUGGGGGUCACAUAGGGAGAGUCCCGUUGGGGGGGGUCCCAUUGGGGGUCCCAUAGAGAACACUCUUGGUUUUCCUAUGGAGGACUCCAUGGGGUGCUGGGGGUCCCAUUGGGGGUCCCAUAGGAGAGUCCCAUAGAGGACGCUCCUUGUGUUCCUAUAGGGGCUC